AUACGGAGGGGGUUAGCGUUGUUCGGAAUUACUGGGCGUAAAGCGCGCGUAGGCGGAUUAGUAAGUUAGAGGUGAAAUCCCAGGGCUCAACCCUGGAACUGCCUUUAAUACUGCUAGUCUUGAGUUCGAGAGAGGUGAGUGGAAUUCCGAGUGUAGAGGUGAAAUUCGUAGAUAUUCGGAGGAACACCAGUGGCGAAGGCGGCUCACUGGCUCGAUACUGACGCUGAGGUGCGAAAGCGUGGGGAGCAAACAGGAUUAGAAACCCCAGUAGUCC
This 274-nucleotide ribosomal RNA is filed under the name uncultured bacterium. RNAcentral's name for it is "partial 16S ribosomal RNA". It matches the Rfam family "Bacterial small subunit ribosomal RNA", at positions 523 to 796 of the family's 1533-position model. The record is from RNAcentral.